AUAGAGAAAGCACAAGCAUUGUCUUAAUAUCUUCUCCAAGUUUUUGCUUCCUGCAGCUUCCAAAAGCUUGGCAUAAGCUUAGUCCUAACUCAGAAGGGAAGAAAAGAACCAAAUUGGAAUUGCCCUUCGUUGUUUUAGCCGAAGCAAAAGAAGAGAGAGAGAGAGAGAGAGAGCUUACCUCGAGCAAAGGGUUUACCAUCAGGAGUUCCUGAUUGCCAGAUCGCAGCUCAAGUUCCCUAUGGAGAAAGAUGUCAACUUUUCGCAACAAUGGAGCAUUUAGAAACUUGUGGGCAUCUGACUUGUGGAGUGAGUUACC
Long non-coding RNA from Tarenaya hassleriana, 316 nucleotides. RefSeq lists it as uncharacterized. Lineage: Eukaryota; Viridiplantae; Streptophyta; Magnoliopsida; Brassicales; Cleomaceae. The record is from RefSeq and is a predicted model, not a curated record. The transcript is spliced from 3 exons.